UGGCAAGUAAAGUAGGAGAAUCCAAGUCGUUAGUUCCUAAAAGCUUAAAAUUAUGGUUUAAACUUCAAAAGGCUGUGAUCUCGUAACUCUUGAGUUCCCAAUCCCCAGCCAAAUAACAGUUUCCUAGUAGGCCUCUGGUGGUUAAGGACAUGGGGGUCAAUGCUGUUUGGCCGAUUAACCUGUUUGCCAAGGACACUUAAUGAUUCACUGAAAGGAUUAUGGCGCAGCAAGCAAGGAUCACUUACCAAGUGAAAGCAAACUCUGCUGUCCGUUUGCCACAGAAUUUAUCCUUUACAGAUGGAUCCUAUAAUGAAGUGCCACCUGUUGCUGCUCUGUAGACCUUGCUAUGUAAAUAUCUCUGCAAUGCAGCCUUCCCUGCAAAACCCCUGUAUUCCUGCACUGAACGCAUGUUUGAAUACACAUCUAGUCCUGCACCUUCAAUUGAGCUAAAAUGAUGUAAAUAGAUGUCGGUGGUCGCAGAUAGCACAUGGUGCUAAACAUGCAACUGAAAUUCUAGGGAAAAAGCAACGAAAAGAGUUCUAACUGCUUCCCACGCCACCGUACCCAGCUCUUCCAGUAAUAAUAUGUAAGCCACAGAUGGAACUAUUGAAUGCUUUCAAAUCCUCCCCUCCUAAUCUUGAGAACACACGCAGUCACACACCCUCCCUGCAUACGCUCUGCCACU
Non-coding RNA from Pelobates cultripes (western spadefoot toad), 685 nucleotides. The record is from the annotation of a GenBank genome assembly. Lineage: Eukaryota; Metazoa; Chordata; Amphibia; Anura; Pelobatidae.